UUUCCGUAGGUGAACCUGCGGAAGGAUCAUUACAGAGUUCAUGCCCAAAAGUGUAGACCUCCCACCCUUGUGUAUUAUUACUUUGUUGCUUUGGAGACCGCAAGCACGCCAUAGAAUAUCAAAACUCUUUUUAUUAAUGUCGUCUGAAUACUAUAUAAUAGUUAAAACUUUCAACAACGGAUCUCUUGGUUCUG
This 194-nucleotide unclassified non-coding RNA is filed under the name plant metagenome. RNAcentral describes it as "partial contains small subunit ribosomal RNA, internal transcribed spacer 1, and 5.8S ribosomal RNA". The record is from RNAcentral.